Molecule: non-coding RNA, 103 nt
Organism: Populus trichocarpa (black cottonwood)
Lineage: Eukaryota; Viridiplantae; Streptophyta; Magnoliopsida; Malpighiales; Salicaceae
Source: Rfam
AAUAUAAUGGAUUAUAUCCAUUAUUUCUUUUGGUAACCCAGACGAGUCUCCUAAUUUUUAGGGACUGAUGUCAUUUUUAACGUGUCUCCUAUUUUUAGGGACC